RNAcentral lists this ribosomal RNA (109 nucleotides) under Erinaceus europaeus (western European hedgehog). The record is from RNAcentral. Lineage: Eukaryota; Metazoa; Chordata; Mammalia; Eulipotyphla; Erinaceidae.
GUCUACAGCCAUACCACCCUGAACAUGCCCAAUCUCGUAAGCUAAGCAGGGUCAGGCCUGGUUAGUACUUGGAUGGGAGAAGUGGACCUACCCUGUGAUGCUGCAGUUC